This 407-nucleotide ribosomal RNA is filed under the name uncultured bacterium. RNAcentral's name for it is "bacterial SSU rRNA". It matches the Rfam family "Bacterial small subunit ribosomal RNA", at positions 355 to 776 of the family's 1533-position model. The record is from RNAcentral.
UGGGGAAUUUUCCGCAAUGGGCGAAAGCCUGACGGAGCAAGACCGCGUGAGGGAGGAAGGCCUAUUGGUUGUAGACCUCUUUUGAUAGGGAAGAACACAAUGAUGGUACCUAUCGAAUCAGCAUCGGCUAACUCCGUGCCAGCAGCCGCGGUAAUACGGAGGAUGCAAGCGUUAUCCGGAUUUAUUGGGCGUAAAGCGUCCGUAGGUGGUGAGCCAAGUCAGUUGUUAAAGCGUAGAGCUUAACUCUAUAAAGGCAAUUGAAACUGGUUUGCUAGAGUGCGACAGGGGCAAGGGGAAUUCCCAGUGUAGCGGCGAAAUGCGUAGAUAUUGGGAAGAACAUCGGUGGCGAAAGCGCCUUGCUGGGUCUGCACUGACACUGAGGGACGAAAGCUAGGGGAGCGAAAGGG